CAGUCGCCGCGGGAAUACAGAGGGUGCGAGCGUUAAUCGGAUUUACUGGGCGUAAAGCGUGCGUAGGCGGCUUUUUAAGUCGGAUGUGAAAUCCCUGAGCUUAACUUAGGAAUUGCAUUCGAUACUGGGAAGCUAGAGUAUGGGAGAGGAUGGUAGAAUUCCAGGUGUAGCGGUGAAAUGCGUAGAGAUCUGGAGGAAUACCGAUGGCGAAGGCAGCCAUAUGGCCUAAUACUGACGCUGAGGUACGAAAGCGUGGGGAGCAAACAGGAUUAGAUACCCCAGUAGUCCCUGUCUCUUAUAC
This 301-nucleotide ribosomal RNA is filed under the name uncultured bacterium. Its description in RNAcentral is "partial 16S ribosomal RNA". It matches the Rfam family "Bacterial small subunit ribosomal RNA", at positions 509 to 807 of the family's 1533-position model. The record is from RNAcentral.